CUCUGGGAUCCUCCUUGCCCCUUUGGUGACCAAGGAUGACCAGGCUUCCCUGUCAGCCUCCUCAGCCCUCAGGUAAUGGGACAUAGGAGUCAGAGAACUUGAGGGCUUAUGGUCCCCAGGCCAAUUGCAGUUCCCACCUUUCUCCAAUGUCAGAGCUCAUGAAAAGAGCUGUGUGGCAAAAAGGAGCUGAGUUGAUGGAAGAGCGACUAGAUUGGUCAGGUAGGAUGGGUUAGACUCCUGGAGAGUCAUCAGCUAUGUAAGUGGAGUAAAGCCUUGGCAGGCUCCAUAAUGCUUCCAGUUCCAAACUGUGUGUUUGUAAACAAGCCCUCUGCUCCUUCAGUGCAACCAUGUUGCCACACUCUUAUGAACCUCAUAGGGCAUGUAACAAGGACUUUGAGGCUACUUUUGCUAAACAUAUUGACUUUUCUCUUGGGCCUGCAAAUGUAAAAUACCUAGUAACUCUGUCUCCAUUUUGCAUUUGACUCCUUUACUCUGAGUCACCUCAGAUGGCAAGAACAACAGGUCUCAUUGACAAACACUUUGGGAUGAGUCAAAACUACCCCCAGGUAACUUUCUUAUCACUUCAGAUGACCAAUCCUGAGACAAUGAUCAACCAGACACAAUUUGAUCAAGACUGGUUACUACACAUAUUUCUGGUUCCCCCCUCUCCCAACCCUUGUCUAUACUAUCUGAAAGUUCUUGUCUGUAACCCCAAAGAAAGGACUAGAAAUGCUGGUCCCCUUUGUCUUCCCAGGAUGGUCAUACCUAUUAAAGUUACUUUUCUGCUUUCCACAUUACUUUUUUUUUUUAAACUGAGUCUCCAGAUAAAUACCCAUAAGUCAUUGGAAUGCAGAACAUAUUACUUGUGAGCAACCCAGCCUGUGUCCUUGUGCCCACAUCCCUGACAGCAGCUUGCCAACUAGCUGAUAGAAAAGCAACAAAACCACAAAAUUACCACAAGAAAUCCUGAGGAAACACUCCUUUAAAGAACAUGCACAUUGAAGCCUUUGGAGACCUAGAAAUGACCCCAGCCUCAUUAUAAAUAGUAAGACCCACAUUCUUGGGUAGAAAUUUAAGAUGCUAAUGAGACAUGAAAUGUAGAAAGUAGCAUGAUUAGAAUAUGCCAGGGCAAUGUGCAAGGAAAACUGGCAUGAAAUUGCAUAACCCCACCCUGACUCCAUCUGCAAGCUACUCUCCC
RNAcentral lists this long non-coding RNA (1198 nucleotides) under Marmota monax (woodchuck). Lineage: Eukaryota; Metazoa; Chordata; Mammalia; Rodentia; Sciuridae. The record is from RNAcentral.